Rattus rattus (black rat) is the source of this 1188-nucleotide long non-coding RNA. RefSeq lists it as uncharacterized. The record is from RefSeq and is a predicted model, not a curated record. NCBI's taxonomy places the organism in Eukaryota, Metazoa, Chordata, Mammalia, Rodentia, Muridae. The transcript is spliced from 2 exons.
UCCUGUGACUUCUCUUACGCGUGGGAAGCCUUAGGGUGAUGCCUGGGAAGCCGUAGGGUGAUCUCUUAGCUUACAUCAACAUCUAUUCAACUUAGUGGAUCUUAAUGCUAUGAAUCUGGGGUAGUUCUCCUGCUAGUAGGAUGGGGCCCACCCACAGCCUGUGUGCCCAGCACCCUCCGGCCCCUUUUCCAGCGUGAUUCAACAUUGGGAAUGCUGGGAAGGCAAUGGCAGGUGGCUGAAUGCGGAGUUGAAGAGAGCGAUAACCACUUAGACCCCACCACCUCUUUGGGGAGGCUGGGCGGAGCCAGCCUGAGAGGGGUCAGUCGGGAAGCAGAAAUCAUUGCCUCCGGAAUUAGCUACAUAGGAUUGCUUUUCAUUCGGAUCGAUUGAAGAAUGGGGCAGCUGCCCAGGUGUGCUGGCCCCUUUCAUGUUCACAUCAAAUGCUACUGCAUCUACAGCCUUGUCCAGGAAGCACCCUUCCUGGGCCAGCAGAAUGAUCUUCACCUGGCAAGCCUGCAGACCCUGAGGCCCACCCGAGUCCCGCGGAAGCACUCAUCACCUUAACUACAAAGCUUGAGGGCUCGCAGCGACAUGAAAGGCAGAAAGCCUGAUCCAUGGAGAGCUCCGACCCCCUAAGUAGGGCUGGCCACAGGGAUGCUGGGAGGGAGCACCUGGCAGGCAUUGCGUCCCACUGUGAGGUGUUGGAGAGGGCUGGGCCCAGUGUACCUCCUACAGGUGCCGCCUCUUAGGAAGCCACAGGGACAGAUGGAUUAUUACUUUCAGUGUUUCACUUACACCUGCCCACGUAGGGACCCAUGACAACAGCUCGUGCGUUGGCAAUGCUGCCAGGGAGAUCUGAGGAGUCCCUUUUCCUCAGAGUCAUGAGAAAUGAAGCAGCGAGGGGGACACAGUCCCUUCCCUGGUGGCCUUUUCUCACCCUUGUUGAAGGGAUGGUCUCUUCUCUUUCUGAAGGGGCUCUUCCAGAAAUGUCCCCUCCCCAGGAAUGCAAAAUAGCAGCUGCCCAGAAGUGGUGCCAACUGGAGAAUGGGCCUGACGAACCUGCCCAAUAUGGAGUUCUGGGAGUCCGUGCAAAUCACUCGGCAAGUCUCCUGCACCUGCCUCCUGGAUGCAGAGGGUGUCGGCCAGCUGCUACUGUCCAUGAAUUCUUAGCUGCCCUAGCAACUCUAA